Long non-coding RNA from Silurus meridionalis, 867 nucleotides. RefSeq lists it as uncharacterized. Lineage: Eukaryota; Metazoa; Chordata; Actinopteri; Siluriformes; Siluridae. The record is from RefSeq and is a predicted model, not a curated record. The transcript is spliced from 4 exons.
GAAGAUGAUGACGAUGAAGAGACCACAUCUGCUGUGACAGAAGUGGACAAUGUUGGUAGAUCCACUGAGUACAUACCUAGGGAUUUGCCCACAGAUGAAGGUCCUUCAACCUCAGCACACAAUCUAAGCAGGUUGCCAGCAAAGGAGCUGUAUAAGGUCCAUCUUUAAAAACAAAUAAGAAAAAGUGACAUGGAGAUGGACCUUAUACCGCUUCAAAUGGAAGAGAAAAGACUCCUCAUUAAAAAAGCAGCACUGGAAAUUGAAUUACUGGAGCAUCGCCUUAAGGAAAUAAAGAAAUAAACUGCCUGGCAGACCAGUGAAAAAAAUUAAUAAAAGUGAUUUUGACAGACCCUGUCUCUCAAAAGUCUUCUGUCUCUGUUGGCCUCUAAAAUCUGUAGGUGUUCCUCUGGGCCAUCUUUCUCAAUACAAGGAGGGUGGCUCUCUUCUCUUAUAGUGGCAAUAUUGUGAAGCACAACACACGCUACUAUAAUGUCGCAUGCCCUCUCUGGACUAACCCGGAGCCCACGCAGACUCUGAAACUGAGAUUUGAGGAUCCCUAUAGUCAUCUCCACCUUGGCCCGUGUUCGGCUGUGAGGCAGGUUAAACCGUGUCUGUGGUCCAGGCUCAGGUUCAGGGUAGGGUGUCAUUAAAUAGGGCAGACAAGGAUCCUCUGUCCCCCAGCAAGUAACCAUUGUACUGUCCUGUAAUGAUUGAAAUGUACAACACAAAUGUAGUAAAAAGGAAAAAAAAAAAAACAAUUGUAUAAAGCAAAACAUACCCUGCUGAAAUGUCUGGUAAAUUCUUGCAUCAUGCACAGAUCCUGGACAUUUUGCCUCAACAUUGGUAAUGAUUUGGGUUGCCUCACAU